UACAUUUUAUCAAUCUAUUAGGAUAGGAGAAAGAGUCAUUGUCUGCUGAUAUUGCACAAUUUCUGCCAAAAAGUGAUUGAGAAGAGUGAAUGGUCUGUUUUCUUAUAAUUAAAACAUACGACAGAGCAUUUCAUGCCAGAGUUCAAUUUGCAAACACAGCAUAAACUCUGUGAGCACAAGCAGGAAGAAAAGCAUAAUUUUAUCUAAAGCGAGUCAGUGCUGUUUCUCAAGCAAUUUGCAAGGGUUAUAAACCUUUAAAAUCCUCAGCAAGAUUGGCUGAAACAUAUUAGCCAUUAAAAAUUUCUCCAUUACAAAUGGAUUCAUUAUUAGAUUGCACAACACUUGCUCUAUAGCAUUCUAUAAUUCAGUGGCACAGAGGAUGAUAAUAUAGAGCCAGUAUGUUAGAUGCAAAUUUUCAUUUGAUAACUCCACACCAUAACAACUUAAAUUUACAUGCAGUUGAAAGCAGACUGCAGGUUACUUGAAAAAUACAAUGAUCCCUAAUAACAUUCACUUCUUAAUAAACUUGGAGGAAAGAAAGGAUGGAAUAUCUUCCAUUGCUGUUUCCUGUUACAUAGAAUUAUCACUUAAUAAUUAUCUCUCAAUAAUUAUCAGGUAAUAGAAGCCUCAUGCUGGCAUCAUUUCCUUUUCCAACACAGGUAUCAAAUAUUGAUUUCCUCCUUGCUAAAUUACAAUCACUUUCUAGUCCCUUGUUCCAGAAGUCUACAUUUUACUAAACUUCAGACACAUUAUUUAUUUACAGUUCACCCCUUCAUUCUCCAUCCUAUGUAUAUUUCUUCAUGGAGACAGGUACAGGUCAAGGCUAUCAGAGAUUCAAAUCACAGAAUCCCCUGACUCCAACUCUCACACCACAAAUGAUAGUUGGAUCUUAAUUUUGCUUCCUUGUUAGCUUGACUGCAAGAAGCCAAAGAUGAGAUCUGCCAACAUGAGCCUUCUGACCCUCUUCCCAGUGGCAUUGCUUUCUGUGAAUUCAGAAAUGGAAAUGCA
RNAcentral lists this long non-coding RNA (1008 nucleotides) under Oryctolagus cuniculus (rabbit). RNAcentral's name for it is "lncRNA (ENSOCUG00000030732.1)". Lineage: Eukaryota; Metazoa; Chordata; Mammalia; Lagomorpha; Leporidae. The record is from RNAcentral.